AUCUGCCUGCCUCGGCCUCCCAAAGUGCUGGGAUUACAGGCAUAAGCCACUGUGCCUGGCUGCCGAGUUUAUUUCUGAAACUCAAAUAUUGAACCUCCAGAGAGAAAAGAGAAGAUUCUGUCACAUCUAUACUUCUUAGAAUCUGACUUUUCUAGAAAAAGGUAAUAUCUACACAUAGCCAAGACCUACCCUUUGGGUAAACUAGGAGGUUUAAUUUUUUGGUAAACUUAGAUAAAUACGAGGAGAUUAAAGGCCUCUUCAACUGUUAGGCAGAGCCAUUGUUCACAAUGGAGCGUAUCCCUUGGUGUGAUGGAUUGCAUUGAUGUGUGGCCUUCUCGCUUUGAAUGUGUGCUGAAAAUAUAGAUGAGCAAAAGUACAGACAGUAGUAACACAGAGUCCAUGAGAUCUCCAAGCUGAAAAGGCUGAGAAUUCAGACAGGAGCUAAGGGCUUUUCAUGGUUGCUGAACCUAAAAAACUAAGUUUGUCAGACAAAAUUGUAAUACUUGGUACCAACUCCCCAUAAUAAAAGAUUUUAUUUUAUUUUAUUUUUUUGAUUCAAGUCCACAGGAGUCUUCAAAGGAGACAAGGAGAAGGUGACGAAGGACUCCAACACAGCAAUUUUUAUCUGCAGGCUCUGUUUAUACUUCAUGCUUCCUAGGUUUGGUCUUACCGAAAGAGUUUUCUAACAGUCAGUCUGUUAUAAUCUAGGUCAGAGCACUUCAUUUUGGCCCUUGGGAGAUUAACCAGCCACUUGAAUGCUGAUUUACUGCUUAAAGGACUAAAGACUUUUAAAAUCAUGGGCCUGUAGCUUGCGGAGUUUUGAAAAUAAAUCUUCCUGACUGUGCAGCCAGGCAAUGCAGCUGCACAUACUUUUUGAGGACCGAGAUUCUGAAUGUGUUCAUUAAACAAGUUGACUUAGCAUCCAAGACCCUUCAUGAUUGACAUCCUGUUCACCUGUAGAAAUUCAAGACGAGGCUGGGUGUGGUGGCUCAUGCCUGUAAUCCCAGCACUUUCGGAAGCCAAGAGGGGCCGAUCUUCUGAGGUCAGGAGUUUGAGACCAGCUU
Molecule: long non-coding RNA, 1064 nt
Filed under: Homo sapiens (human)
Lineage: Eukaryota; Metazoa; Chordata; Mammalia; Primates; Hominidae
Description: HSALNT0150597
Source: RNAcentral